This 503-nucleotide ribosomal RNA is filed under the name uncultured bacterium. RNAcentral's name for it is "bacterial SSU rRNA". It matches the Rfam family "Bacterial small subunit ribosomal RNA", at positions 9 to 507 of the family's 1533-position model. The record is from RNAcentral.
GAGUUUGAUCGUGGCUCAGAUUGAACGCUGGCGGCAGGCCUAACACAUGCAAGUCGAGCGGUAGAGAGAAGCUUGCUUCUCUUGAGAGCGGCGGACGGGUGAGUAAUGCCUAGGAAUCUGCCUGGUAGUGGGGGAUAACGCUCGGAAACGGACGCUAAUACCGCAUACGUCCUACGGGAGAAAGCAGGGGACCUUCGGGCCUUGCGCUAUCAGAUGAGCCUAGGUCGGAUUAGCUAGUUGGUGAGGUAAUGGCUCACCAAGGCGACGAUCCGUAACUGGUCUGAGGGGAUGAUCAGUCACACUGGAACUGAGACACGGUCCAGACUCCUACGGGAGGCAGCAGUGGGGAAUAUUGGACAAUGGGCGAAAGCCUGAUCCAGCCAUGCCGCGUGUGUGAAGAAGGUCUUCGGAUUGUAAAGCACUUUAAGUUGGGAGGAAGGGCAGUAAAUUAAUACUUUGCUGUUUUGACGUUACCGACAGAAUAAGCACCGGCUAACUCUGUG